GAUGAAGAACGUAGCGAAAUGCGAUAAGUAAUGUGAAUUGCAGAAUUCAGUGAAUCAUCGAAUCUUUGAACGCACCUUGCGCCCUCUGGUAUUCCGGAGGGCAUGCCUGUUUGAGUGUCAUGAACACCUCACCCCCUCGGGUUUCCGAUCGGGUGGACUUGGGCGUUGCCAGUCACAUGGCUCGCCUUAAAUGUAUUAGCGGUUGUUGACGUAAUAAGUUUCGUCUUGUCGACCGCUCCUAAUCUCCUUAGGGAUGUCUGUGGACACUUCAUGAUCUGACCUCAAAUCAGGUAGGACUACCCGCUGAACUUAAGCAUAUCAAUAAGCGGAGGA
RNAcentral lists this unclassified non-coding RNA (333 nucleotides) under soil metagenome. RNAcentral's name for it is "partial contains 5.8S ribosomal RNA, internal transcribed spacer 2, and large subunit ribosomal RNA". The stretch from base 1 to 120 matches the Rfam family "5.8S ribosomal RNA", at positions 35 to 154 of the family's 154-position model. The record is from RNAcentral.